ACCCUAUUAUUUUAAAUGUAAAUUUUUACUAUGAUUAUUAAUAGUUAAGAUCUUUAAAAUCAAAAGAUUUCGGCGGUAUUUUAGUCUUUUCAGAGGAACCUGUUUUUUAAUCGAUAAUCCACGAUUAGUCGUACUUUUCCUUUAAGUUUGCAUAUCGUCGUAAAAUAAAUAUUUUAUUAGAAUUACAAUAUUUUUGAUUUAAUAUUAUAGGAUAAUUUCAGAUCAAGGUGUAGUUUAUGGAGAAGAUAAAAUGGGUUACAUUAUAUUUAUUUGUGGUUUAUUAUUUUAAAAGUUUUAUUAAAUUGGA
This 307-nucleotide ribosomal RNA is filed under the name Praocis sp. TB15182. RNAcentral's name for it is "partial 12S ribosomal RNA". The record is from RNAcentral. Lineage: Eukaryota; Metazoa; Arthropoda; Insecta; Coleoptera; Tenebrionidae.